This 301-nucleotide ribosomal RNA is filed under the name uncultured bacterium. Its description in RNAcentral is "partial 16S ribosomal RNA". It matches the Rfam family "Bacterial small subunit ribosomal RNA", at positions 509 to 808 of the family's 1533-position model. The record is from RNAcentral.
CAGCCGCCGCGGUAAUACGUAGGGGGCAAGCGUUGUCCGGAAUUAUUGGGCGUAAAGCGCGCGCAGGCGGUUCUUUAAGUCUGGUGUAUAAGUGCGGGGCUCAACCCCGUGAGGCACUGGAAACUGGGGAACUUGAGUGCAGAAGAGGAGAGCGGAAUUCCACGUGCAGCGGUGAAAUUCGUAGAUAUUGGGAAGAACACCGGUGGCGAAGGCGGCAACCUGGUCCUUGACUGACGCUGAGGCGCGAAAGCGUGGGGAGCAAACAGGAUUAGAUACCCGCGUAGUCCCUGUCUCUUAUACA